This 223-nucleotide small RNA is filed under the name Jaculus jaculus (lesser Egyptian jerboa). RNAcentral describes it as "7SK RNA (ENSJJAG00000009550.1)". It matches the Rfam family "7SK RNA", at positions 1 to 238 of the family's 331-position model. From Rfam's summary of the family: 7SK was discovered as an abundant small nuclear RNA in the mid-70s but a possible function has only recently been suggested. Lineage: Eukaryota; Metazoa; Chordata; Mammalia; Rodentia; Dipodidae. The record is from RNAcentral.
GGAUGUGAGGGCAACUUGGCUGUGACAUCUGUCACCCUAUUGAUUGUCAGGGUUGGUUUGACUUAUUUGGCUUUCUAGGUGAAUGUCCCCUUCUUCCCUCACUACUCCAAGUGUGUCCCAAAGCUAUGUGACUGGUCAAAGGAGAUUUUUCCCUGUGCAUCAUUUGGGUUUCAGGGCAAAUAAUCAGCUGUGUUCUUAGGAAAAAUAAUUCAUUUGGCCACCA